UACGUAGGGGGCUAGCGUUGUCCGGAAUUAUUGGGCGUAAAGAGCUUGUAGGCGGUUUGUCGCGUCUGCCGUGAAAAUCCGAGGCUCAACCUCGGACUUGCGGUGGGUACGGGCAGACUAGAGUGUGGUAGGGGAGACUGGAAUUCCUGGUGUAGCGGUGAAAUGCGCAGAUAUCAGGAGGAACACCGAUGGCGAAGGCAGGUCUCUGGGCCACUACUGACGCUGAGAAGCGAAAGCGUGGGGAGCGAACAGG
Molecule: ribosomal RNA, 253 nt
Filed under: uncultured bacterium
Lineage: Bacteria
Description: partial 16S ribosomal RNA
Rfam family: Bacterial small subunit ribosomal RNA
Source: RNAcentral